Molecule: unclassified non-coding RNA, 253 nt
Filed under: uncultured Dehalococcoidia bacterium
Lineage: Bacteria; Bacillati; Chloroflexota; Dehalococcoidia
Description: contains 16S-23S intergenic spacer region
Rfam family: Bacterial small subunit ribosomal RNA
Source: RNAcentral
UACGUGGGUGGCGAGCGUUGUCCGGAUUUACUGGGCGUAAAGGGCGUGCAGGCGGUUUGUUAAGUUCAGGGUGAAAGCUCCCGGCUCAACUGGGAGAGGUCCUUGGAUACUGGCAGACUUGAGGAGAGUAGAGGAAAGUGGAAUUCCCGGUGUAGUGGUGAUAUGCGUAGAUAUCGGGAGGAACACCAGUGGCGAAGGCGGCUUUCUGGGCUCUACCUGACGCUGAGACGCGAAAGCGUGGGGAGCGAACCGG